Molecule: ribosomal RNA, 270 nt
Filed under: Sedimentisphaerales bacterium
Lineage: Bacteria; Pseudomonadati; Planctomycetota; Phycisphaerae; Sedimentisphaerales
Description: partial 23S ribosomal RNA
Rfam family: Bacterial large subunit ribosomal RNA
Source: RNAcentral
GGUCAAGUUACUAAGGGUGUAUGGGGGAUGUCUAGGCGUUGAGAGGCGAAGAAGGACGUGGCAGGCUGCGAUAAGCCCGGGGCAGGAGCCGAGCAUCCGCUAAUCCCGGGAUGUCCGAAUGGGGAAACCCGUUAUCACUGGGCAACCAGAUGGUAUCAUCAAUGGCUGAAUGUAUAGGCCAUAUGAAGCGAACGCAGGGAACUGAUACAUCUCAGUACCUGUAGGAAAGGAAAUCAACAGAGACUCCGUAAGUAGCGGCGAGCGAAAGCG